GAUGAACGCUGGCGGCGUGCCUAAUACAUGCAAGUCGAGCGAACAGACGAGGAGCUUGCUCCUUUGACGUUAGCGGCGGACGGGUGAGUAACACGUGGGUAACCUACCUAUAAGACUGGGAUAACUUCGGGAAACCGGAGCUAAUACCGGAUAAUAUUUCGAACCGCAUGGUUCGAUAGUGAAAGAUGGCUUUGCUAUCACUUAUAGAUGGACCUGCGCCGUAUUAGCUAGUUGGUAAGGUAACGGCUUACCAAGGCAACGAUACGUAGCCGACCUGAGAGGGUGAUCGGCCACACUGGAACUGAGACACGGUCCAGACUCCUACGGGAGGCAGCAGUAGGGAAUCUUCCGCAAUGGGCGAAAGCCUGACGGAGCAACGCCGCGUGAGGGAUGAAGGUCUUCGGAUCGUAAAACUCUGUUAUUAGGGAAGAACAAACGUGUAAGUAACUGUGCACGUCUUGACGGUACCUAAUCAGAAAGCCACGACUAACUACGUG
RNAcentral lists this ribosomal RNA (497 nucleotides) under uncultured bacterium. Its description in RNAcentral is "partial 16S ribosomal RNA". It matches the Rfam family "Bacterial small subunit ribosomal RNA", at positions 28 to 507 of the family's 1533-position model. The record is from RNAcentral.